AAGUGAACGUCACCUGCCCCAGGGUCACUUGGCAGCAGAGCCCCGCGACAGAAGGGGCUCCACUGAAAGGGCAGCGCAAAUCCGGGGCAUUAAAAUAACCCGAAUGGUGUUGUUUUCUGAUCAAGUGCCUUUCCCUCCCGGGUUUGUGAGUUUCGAGCCUGAGAAUGUCUCCCCACAGCUCAGGUUUCUCUGCUGCCACCCUGAUCUCAGCCUGGAAUCCAGGUCUGAUGGAACUAUGUCACAGUCCCGAAAUGGAGAGACUUCAUCUCGCAGACGGUGGUGCUGGCAGGCCCAGCUCAGGCGGCUGGUCCCGGGCCCCGGGCAGCGUGGCACAUCCCAGCUCUCGGUGGACAGAGGGCCUGAGCUCCAAUCUGUGCCCAGUAAACUGGGGUCUGUGAGCCUCCCACCGAGAGCAGACGGGGAGCACAGGCCGAGGUGCCACAGGCUCACUUGGGGACAAUCACGUCGGUUUGCAGACAGGUGGACCCUGGUGGGAGGCCCUUGAGUUUCUGGAAGGUUGGAUUGGAGGGCGGCGAGCAGCCAGUCACACGAUGGAAGACAUGGCUCACGGCCGAGCUGAGCCCCUCUCUUUCAUUAGCGGGGCCCCGGUGUGAUGGCGUCACCCGCAGGGCAGGUGGGGCCUGGGGGUCAACGAGGAACCACCCCUUUCUUGGUGAGGACUAGGCCUCAAGGGGGACCACCCACUGCUCGUGUGCAAGAGAAGGCAGCAGAGUGUGGCCCCUUGGGCCUGGUGAUCUCCUGGGUUGAGGAGCAGCCCUUCCAGAGCAGCCGGGGGCAGAGGGUGCCUGGGCCCUGUGCUCGGCCAGCCUCGCUCCCCACCUCCUCUGUGAGAACUGCAGCGGCAGCCAAGCCAUUGCCCCUACUCCCACUUCAGCCCCUGCAAACUCCCUCCGGAUGUCCCCUCGAGCCUCUUCGUAGUCCAGGAGCCGCGCCUUCUGCCGGGCAAGGUGUAGGAAGCCUGGCCUCCAGGUCCCAGAGCUUUGAGGCCCUUCCCCGCGCAGGCUGUAUUUUAUCUCUCAGUGCCCCCAGUGCCACGCAAGGUGCUCACAACACUGACUCUGAAGAAUGCACCAAUGGCAGCCCAUCACACCUGGCGUGGAAUCCUGAGGUGAGAUCCAGGGAUCAGCCUCAUCUCCCCACAGCCUCCCCACCUCCGCCAGGGACCCCGUGCUCACAUCAGGCCUCUGGCCCGUUUGUCUGCUGGCAUGUCCAGGGCUCAUUCCCUUGUCCAUUGUUUCUCUCGCCAAAUGCCGUCUUCUCUUCUCAGACAGGACUUUCCUGAGCAGGCGGGCUGGAAAAUAGCUGUCUUUACCACAUAAUCCCAUCCUGCUGUGUUGUUCUUAGCACUUACUACCAACUGACAGUCAUUGCAUUAGCUCACACAAUAGAUUACUUCGUGACACUGCAAAUGUUUCAAUUUUUUGUUGUGUGUGACUGACUCCCAUAAGACUGCAAGCUCCAGGAGGGCCAAGACCUGGCUUUCUCCCCAACUAGUCCUGCGUGCUGGCCCAUAGCAGUGAUGGAAUGCUAUAGGUACUCCUCACUGAACAAAUGGGUGAGAAAAUGCAUGAGCAGAUGAAUGUUUCUUUGUAAAGUAAGAACCGAUAUAAAUUAUCUCUUAGUGUGAUGGGUAAUCAACCCCCAAAUGAUCUAAGGCUUCCUUUUAAAGAACCAAAGAGCAUAAGAACUAUAAAGGUCUUUGAAAGCUGGUCAAUCCCCAAAUGUAUACAGUAGGAAACUGAGUCCCAGGGCGGGAGAAGGGCUGCAGUGAACACUCAUAAAAUCAGUGUCUUUGACUUCCAGCCAUCAGCUCUUUCUAAAACAGGGUCUGACAUGACAACUCUUCUGAACAGAUUCUGACCUGUCAAUUUUCUACUGGUUUUGCAUGCAAAUAAUUUUUACUAAGAUGAAAAACAAAACAGACAAGAGAACAAGGCCAGCAGCAUCAAAUUUCACCUCCUAUUGCCUCCAGGUAUGUUGACUGAAAAGCAAGCCUCUGUACUGCCCAGAGUCCCUUCAGUAAGCUUUGUUGUUGUUGAGUCACUCGGUUGUGUCCGACUCUCUGCGACCCUACAGACUGCAGCACACCAGACUUCUCUGUCCUUCCCCAUCUCCCAGAGCUUGCUCAAACUCAUAUCCAUUGAGUUGGUGAUGCCAUCCAACCAUUCAUCCCCUGUUACCCCUUCUCCUCCUGCCUUCAGUCUUGUUUCUGCAUUCUUCCCCACUUUUGUGUGUCCGGCAGGACCCUGCAAGAUUGUCUGCAAUUGGAAUAGAAGAAAUGCAAGCGUAAGCCAAAAGCUAAGUUGUGCCUGGGACUCCACCCUCCGUCUGCCCUUCUCCCCAGACACCUGUGGAAUCUCACCGUGGGUAUUUUAGAUGGACGCAACCCACUCAGUUCUGCAGUAAGGGGUGCACCUGCUCUGCUCAUCAGACAUCAGCCAUUCUUGAUGUUCCUUUUAAAGAAAUUCUCUAGAGGCUUCUAAGAAACUCCCAGCCUAUCAAAGCCUUCUCUCCCAGCUGGCCCUGGAGGGUGACUCCCCAAUCUUGCUCUGCAUGUAAAAUUAUGUUUGACAGCAAUGAAAACCAACAGUUCAACAGCAAUCAUUUCUUGGCAGGGCAGAUUGGCAUGAGACCUGCCCCAAAACAAAAUAAGCCUUUCAGGGAAGUAUUUUUCAAGCUGGGUUGGCCUUCUCAAGCCUCUUGGAGAUUCUAGUAUGGCUGACUUGGGAGUCGAGGCUGAGCCCCAGCCAGAGCCAUCAGUGACAGUCAAUGACAUGAUGGCCAGGAGGGAGACCCAGGGCUUGCUCAAACUCAUAUCCAUUGAGUUGGUGAUGCCAUCCAACCAUUCAUCCCCUGUUACCCCUUCUCCUCCUGCCUUCAGUCUUGUUUCUGCAUUCUUCCCCACUUUUGUGUGUCCGGCAGGACCCUGCAAGAUUGUCUGCAAUUGGAAUAGAAGAAAUGCAAGCGUAAGCCAAAAGCUAAGUUGUGCCUGGGACUCCACCCUCCGUCUGCCCUUCUCCCCAGACACCUGUGGAAUCUCACCGUGGGUAUUUUAGAUGGACGCAACCCACUCAGUUCUGCAGUAAGGGGUGCACCUGCUCUGCUCAUCAGACAUCAGCCAUUCUUGAUGUUCCUUUUAA
This 3161-nucleotide long non-coding RNA is filed under the name Bos grunniens (domestic yak). RNAcentral's name for it is "lncRNA (ENSBGRG00000021572.1)". Lineage: Eukaryota; Metazoa; Chordata; Mammalia; Artiodactyla; Bovidae. The record is from RNAcentral.